AUGAAACACGGAGCAAUCUGUGGCUUAUAGAUGGGCCUGCGGCGCAUUAGCUAGUUGGUAGGGUAACGGCCUACCAAGGCGACGAUGCGUAGCCGACCUGAGAGGGUGAACGGCCACACUGGGACUGAGACACGGCCCAGACUCCUACGGGAGGCAGCAGUAGGGAAUCUUCCGCAAUGGACGCAAGUCUGACGGAGCAACGCCGCGUGAGUGAUGAAGGUUUUCGGAUCGUAAAGCUCUGUUGCCCUAGACGAACAGCAAGGCGAGUAACUGCGCUUUGUGUGACGGUAUAGGAGAAGAAAGCCCCGGCUAACUACGUGCCAGCAGCCGCGGUAAUACGUAGGGGGCAAGCGUUGUCCGGAAUUAUUGGGCGUAAAGCGCGCGCAGGCGGUUAAUUAAGUUGGGUGUUUAAGCCCGGGGCUCAACCCCGGUUCGCAUCCAAAACUGGUUGACUUGAGUGUAGGAGAGGAAAGUGGAAUUCCCACGUGUAGCGGUGAAAUGCGUAGAGAUGUGGAGGAACA
RNAcentral lists this ribosomal RNA (521 nucleotides) under Paenibacillus sp. RNAcentral's name for it is "bacterial SSU rRNA". It matches the Rfam family "Bacterial small subunit ribosomal RNA", at positions 200 to 708 of the family's 1533-position model. Lineage: Bacteria; Bacillati; Bacillota; Bacilli; Caryophanales; Paenibacillaceae. The record is from RNAcentral.